UGCAACAGCGUUAGCAGCUGCCUGCU
Molecule: non-coding RNA, 26 nt
Filed under: Mus musculus (house mouse)
Lineage: Eukaryota; Metazoa; Chordata; Mammalia; Rodentia; Muridae
Source: RNAcentral